AUACGGAGGGGGUUAGCGUUGUUCGGAAUUACUGGGCGUAAAGCGCACGUAGGCGGAUUAGUAAGUUAGAGGUGAAAUCCCAGGGCUUAACCCUGGAACUGCCUUUAAUACUGCUCGUCUUGAGUUCGUGAGAGGUAAGUGGAAUUCCUAGUGUAGAGGUGAAAUGCGUAGAUAUCAGGAGGAACACCUGUGGCGAAGGCGGCUAUCUGGACCAGUACUGACGCUGAGGCGCGAAAGCGCGGGGAGCAAACAGUAUUAGAAACCCCAGUAGUCC
RNAcentral lists this ribosomal RNA (274 nucleotides) under uncultured bacterium. Its description in RNAcentral is "partial 16S ribosomal RNA". It matches the Rfam family "Bacterial small subunit ribosomal RNA", at positions 523 to 796 of the family's 1533-position model. The record is from RNAcentral.